RNAcentral lists this long non-coding RNA (561 nucleotides) under Ananas comosus (pineapple). RNAcentral's name for it is "long non-coding RNA (ACOM_LNC012145)". Lineage: Eukaryota; Viridiplantae; Streptophyta; Magnoliopsida; Poales; Bromeliaceae. The record is from RNAcentral.
UUCAGUUUUCGAACUUUUUAGGUCGGUAAACAUUCUACAACCCUCCACCAAGUGUGGAAAAGCUCGAAACACAUCCAAGCACUCGAAUCUCGCAAUUUGCAAAGGUCCAGUGUGUUACAGCAUCGCCGCUCGUUUCUCCGGCAUCUCGCGUGAGCAGCAGCCUUCCCCCACCUACAGCACCCUCCUGCCACCGGCGCUCCCGCCGCCGAGUUGCCGCCGGCCGAAUCCAAGCCCCUUUGCUCCGGUAAGCUUAGAUAAGGGUUUUCUGGUUACUGUUCCGAUUUGUGUUUGCUUUCCCGGCGAUCAGAGGCUGUCUCGAUGCCUCUGGAGGCGAACACGAUGAUCGCUGGUCAGUGCUGAUCACAGUGCUCACCUUACUUUGGAUCAACGGAUGCCGUAUCGGCCUGUUCGACGGGAUUUUCCCUAACUGCGAGCUGUUCGCAGAAUUUUUGGGUCGCUCCCGUGCCUCCCACAGUGAGCCGUUGUUCUCCGGAUCAUGAGCACACCCUCUGGCGCAUCGAGACCUGUCAGUACGUGUCUCGGCGGACCUCGAAAGUCCUC